GACGAACGCUGGCGGCGUGCUUAACACAUGCAAGUCGAACGGAAAGGCCCUGCUUUUGUGGGGUGCUCGAGUGGCGAACGGGUGAGUAACACGUGAGUAACCUGCCCUUGACUUUGGGAUAACUUCAGGAAACUGGGGCUAAUACCGGAUAGGAGCUCCUGCUGCAUGGUGGGGGUUGGAAAGUUUCGGCGGUUGGGGAUUGACUCGCGGCUUAUCAGCUUGUUGGUGGGGUAGUGGCUUACCAAGGCUUUGACGGGUAGCCGGCCUGAGAGGGUGACCGGCCCCAUUGGGCCUGAGGUACGGCCCAGACUCCUACGGGAGGCAGCAGUGGGGAAUCUUGCAGAAUGGGCGGAAGCCUGAUGCAGAAACGCCGCGUGCGGGAUGACGGCCUUCGGGUUGUAAACCGCUUUCGCCUGUGACGAAGCGUGAGUGACGGUAAUGGGUAAAGAAGCACCGGCUAACUACGUG
This 468-nucleotide ribosomal RNA is filed under the name uncultured bacterium. RNAcentral describes it as "partial 16S ribosomal RNA". It matches the Rfam family "Bacterial small subunit ribosomal RNA", at positions 28 to 507 of the family's 1533-position model. The record is from RNAcentral.